UACGUAGGGUGCAAGCGUUGUCCGGAAUUAUUGGGCGUAAAGAGCUCGUAGGCGGUUUGUCGCGUCUGCUGUGAAAACUCGGGGCUUAACUCCGGGCCUGCAGUGGGUACGGGCAGACUAGAGUGCGGUAGGGGAGACUGGAAUUCCUGGUGUAGCGGUGAAAUGCGUAGAGAUCCGGAAGAACACCGGUGGCGAAGGCGGUCUGCUGGGCAGUAGCUGACGCUGAUGCGCGACAGCGUGGGGAGCAAACAGG
RNAcentral lists this ribosomal RNA (253 nucleotides) under uncultured bacterium. RNAcentral describes it as "partial 16S ribosomal RNA". It matches the Rfam family "Bacterial small subunit ribosomal RNA", at positions 524 to 776 of the family's 1533-position model. The record is from RNAcentral.